RNAcentral lists this non-coding RNA (102 nucleotides) under Heyndrickxia ginsengihumi. RNAcentral's name for it is "Bacillus ginsengihumi Guanine sequence". It matches the Rfam family "Purine riboswitch aptamer". From Rfam's summary of the family: Riboswitches are metabolite binding domains within certain messenger RNAs that serve as precision sensors for their corresponding targets. Lineage: Bacteria; Bacillati; Bacillota; Bacilli; Caryophanales; Bacillaceae. The record is from Rfam by way of RNAcentral.
GUUUAAAACAGGACGAAACCUUGUAUAAGUUUAGAAAUAAGGUCUAAACGUUUCUACCAAGCUGCCGCAAAUAGCUUGACUACAAGGAUGAUUGAGAUUUUA